GGGGUGUUCCACUACUGCUCUAGGAUGUCCCUCUAACCUUUACAAAUCUGUGUCUGGGAACAUACAUGGAAAGGCUUGCUCAUGUUCCCUGUGUGCUCAAGGAAGCAAGACAUGAGCUCAGCAUAUCCUCAGCAUCUGGGAUUGUCCUAAAACGGACUUCAAGGGACUCACGGCAUGUUCAUGUCUCCCACAGGCAGCAGCCCCUCACACAAGGCCCAGCUCCCUUCCAGAGGGUCAGCCAUGCCCCUGGAGGUCUGGAUCCUGCGCUCUGCCCUCAGCCUGCUCCUGCUGCUGUCUGCCCCCAUCAUCACCCUCCUCCUGGAGAGAUGCAGCCACGGUGCCAACGAGGCCAGGCAGCCUGGAGACGUCCCUGUCCCCAUGGAGCUCUGAUGCCCCCCUGGGCUCCAUGCUGUCCCCAGCCUGCUCCCCCAUGUUCAGAGCACGACCCCCACCGUGGCCAGGCUCCCGCUGCCAUUGGGUUCAAGGCAGCUGUGGCAGCAUGCCCAAGGGAUGUGCUGCCACUGCUCUGCUUCCCUUGGCUCAGCGCCUGCUCUCUGCUCCCAUCAAGGAUUACCACUGGAUCGUGCACCCUCCCAGCUGGGUUCAACCCCAGCACCCACAUGGCUGCCCUUAAUGCUCACAGAAUCACAUCUACAUCACAGGAUCCAUCUCUGCAUACCGGGAAAACACGAGGGGAUGGAGUCACAGCUGCACCCCCAGGGAGCCAUGCUCUGCAGCUCCUGCAUCACUCCAGCACCUCCCUGUGCCCAAGGUGGUGCUGGCCUCAUUGGGCACAUCCCCAAGUGAUUACAGUGCCCCCUCUCAAGGCACCUUGGUGGGUAUUGGUCCUGUGGGAGGCGAGUUAUAAAGGAUUGGUUCAGAAUGCACCAGCUGAUGUUGCUGCUCUGUAUUUGAGAGGCACGACAGCGAGCAGAGCUGGGAGAGCUGCUCUAUGACUGCCAUAUGGGGCCAUGUGUCCUGCGAGGGAGCUGCUGUUCCCUUUGCCCUGCCACCCAAGAGUUCUCCUACCUACUGACAUUGCCAUGGCUGAUGUGUCAUGUAAAACUGCCUGAGAUCCCAGGAUGGCUGAGGCCAUGUAGAGGUCCAGGGGGUGGCCAUGCCUGGCACUCUGCACCCCAUGCCCACCCAUCUCUGUGCUGGAUUUUCUGUUUCUCAAUGCGCCAUCUCCAGCAGACAGCCCUGAGCAGGGACAUUGUGCAUGGGGGCAUCCAGCUGUGGGCCAGGUGGGGAUGGGGUCUCAGCAUGGCUGGCCCCCACACCCACAGACCAUCCCCAGCUUUGCACUAUGAGGUUUUAGCCAUCCCACACCAAUACCUGGAAGGAGCCAAGGUGUCCCUUCUCUGCAGCUCCCAGUGCUGACAUCUGGGGCCUUGGUGUGCAGUGGGGGACUCUGGGACUCGAUGGGUGCAGGCAGGACAGGAGCUGCUCAGCUGGGAGGCACGAGGAUGCAGGACUGCAUGGAUAGAAUAGGGGAUAGGAAAAUGGGGUCAAAACUCAGCAAGAGCUGCUUGGAGGCAGAGCUGGAGGGGAUGUGGGUUUCAGGCUCCUUCCUGCAAGCACAGUCCCUCACCUCCCAUGCCCUCAUUGAAGCACUUGUCUCACAGCUUCCUUCAGGCCCAUGCAUUCAUGUUUCACAGCACAAGCCUCCAGGAGACUCUUCCUCAAAGGGAAUAUACAGAGUUAGGUGGACGGAGCUACUCCCUCAUUCCCAUACAGCCUCCAACCCUCCCUGGUGAGCCAAUCGCACUGUGGUGCCAGCUGCAAAAUUUCUGAGGGUAACCCCUGACCAGCAUCCUGACAGUAAUGAAGAUAUUGAAUGGAAUUCGACGUAAUUAGGAAGAAUUUAGGAAGAACUUCUUUACAAAAAGGGUUGUUAAAAAUUGGAAUGGGCUGCCCAUGGAGGUGGUGGAGUCACCAUCCCUGGAGACCUUUAAAAGACGUUUGGAUGUAGAGCUUAGGGAUAUGGUUUAGUGGAGGACUUGUUAGUCUUAGGUCAGAGGUUGGACUUGAUGAUUUUGAGGUCUCUUCCAACCUAGAAAUUCUGUGAUUCUGUGAUUCUGUGAUUUGGAUCCCUGGAGUACACUACCAGUUAGCAGCCUUCAGCUAAUGUGGUGCAAUUGCCUAAAGUAACUAGGAAAAUAAAACUAACAUUCAUGUUUUAAAGAAAAUGUAC
This 2194-nucleotide long non-coding RNA is filed under the name Anas platyrhynchos platyrhynchos (common mallard). Its description in RNAcentral is "lncRNA (ENSAPLG00000025533.1)". The record is from RNAcentral. Lineage: Eukaryota; Metazoa; Chordata; Aves; Anseriformes; Anatidae.